GAAGCCGUUGUUCCUUCCACCCAAGAUGGCAGGAGGGAGCAUCACGUCCUAGACCCUGAACACCUGAAUAUCCAGCAAUAGGGGAUUCAAGUGAAUCAUGACGUAUUUCACAGCACCAAAGACCGUGCUUGUGGCAAGGAUGUGCUCCAUGGGAAAUGCCUUUUUCACUCAUAUCCUGGGUAAUGUCUAAAUCUGCACAUAUAAUACGAUAAUUCUAGUUUUUAGAGAGAGUGUAGGUGUGUGUGUACAAUGUAUAUGUGAAGGACUAGAUGGAGAAAACAGAAACUCUAUCUAUAAUUGUCUCCGAGAGCUGGAAUUAUGAUUGAGUGUUCACUUCACCUGUGUCUUUAUGCAUCAUCCAAAAUUUCUCCAGUGAUCAUUUAAGACUUUUAAGGUAAGAAAAACACUUAACAUUUUAAACAGUCAUAGAACUGUUACCUAUGUAUUUUUUCCCAGUAUCACACAGCUGCUAGAAGCUAAUAGAAACUCCAGAGACACUGGAAACUGUCUCUUAAACCCCUAGCCCCGAUUACGUCCCACGUGAGGUCUACAAAUAAACUGAUUGAGGAAGCAUGUAAGGUAUUUAAUAAGCUGCCGGUAUAUAUUCCCGUUCUAUGCCAGGCAGGCACUGAGCUAAACACUUUCUUGCGUAUCAUCUCAAAUUCUCCCAGAACCCUGUAAGGUUUUUCUCCCCAUUUUAUGGAAGAGAAAACUGAAGCGUCGGGAGGUUAGCUGACUGCUCAGAGUCCCACGAGGGCAGAGCUGGAUUCGAAGUCGGGCCUGCCUGGCUUCACGGACCGCCUUCCCUCGCCACGGCCCGCUGGUGAAGGUGUUGACUGUUUUUCCUCUGACACGAGCAGCCUGGGACUGCUCUACAGGCCUGAAACGUCCUUUUUCCUUAGUUUGCUCCCAAGGCAGAGGAUAGAUGUCCCCCAGAUCGGGACUGUCUCAUCUCCCUACCGUCAGCCAGCCCCAGCGUGUAGCUGGUGGGCGUGGAGACUGCCACUCCUCCACACCCUGUCUCUGGCAGGACAGAGCCAAAGAACACCCCUCCUCGGGAAAAGCUUAACCCCAAGAACACAGUUUUCUCCUAGGGAGUCCUGGGCUUGAAUCUGUCAUGCGCUGUGUGACCUUGGCCAGGUCGCCUAACCGGAAGCUCUGCCUCCUUCUGUGCAUUGCCGCUGUAACCGAACUCAAGGGGUCGCUGCUUGGGGUGCAUCCAAUUGAACACGACCCGAGGAAGUGUUGAAAGCAAAGACCUUUUAUUACUUGUCACAAGUAAGGAGACAGGGAGAUAGCUCUCAAAGCACUGUCUCCCUGUGGGGUUAGGGCAGGAAGCUUUUAUGCAGUGUGCUGGAGGGCAAGGGCAGGGAGCUGGGCACAUUAAGGAACUGAUGCAUUUUCUGUUUCUUAGGCACUUUGGUUCAGCUGCACAUGCUUAUUAGCAUGUCGACGUGCUAGUCCAUACAUUGUAUAUUCACAAAAAAUGGCAGAAAACCCCACCCGUAGGAGAUCUUAGCAUUAGAAUGAGUGAAAGGUAACGUUAGGGCAGCUCAUAGGGCUUCUGUGCAGGCCCCAAUCUCCAGCAUGGCUCGAACUGGCUCACUCAAGGGGUGUCUCUCUAGUGGGGUACCUGGCCUUGACCUCUCCUUGACGGGAGCUGUUUAUUUCCCUGCCUUUGCCCCUGCCCCCUCUCCCUCCCGCUGACAGAUUUCAGUCCCCUGACGUGAGUACGUCUCUGUUGUCACCUAACACUGCCAGCUAGACAGAUGUGGUCCGAUUCGGUCAACAUUCAUGGAGUAUCUGCUGUGUGCCAGACACGGUGCACGUGAGACUGACAGCAGGUGCACUUGUGAGCAGAGCAUGAUUCACAGAGCUGAUAGAGUUGUCCCGUCGCGGUGUUGUACGCCUGACACUAACGUGACGCGGUGUGUCAACCAUACUUCGGUAAAAAGAAAUGAAGAGAGGAGACGUGCUCCCGGGACUCAAGGUCACGUACGCAGCAGCGCCAGGUCUCUGCCAGCACGCAUUUAAGCCUCAUGAAGAGUGGCUGGAAAACCGGGCCCCCUGAGAGCACGCACGAUGGUUAGCAAUGUUGACGAGCAACUGCAUCUGCUUGAGGGUGUAUGUUGCGGCAAUUAAAGAUAAUUAUGACAACUUCAGAAAA
This is a long non-coding RNA of Neofelis nebulosa (Clouded leopard), 2167 nucleotides long. RefSeq lists it as uncharacterized. NCBI's taxonomy places the organism in Eukaryota, Metazoa, Chordata, Mammalia, Carnivora, Felidae. The record is from RefSeq and is a predicted model, not a curated record. The transcript is spliced from 2 exons.